This 465-nucleotide ribosomal RNA is filed under the name uncultured bacterium. Its description in RNAcentral is "partial 16S ribosomal RNA". It matches the Rfam family "Bacterial small subunit ribosomal RNA", at positions 28 to 507 of the family's 1533-position model. The record is from RNAcentral.
GAUGAACGCUGGCGGCGUGCUUAACACAUGCAAGUCGAACGGAAAGGCUCCUGCUUGCAGGGGUACUCGAGUGGCGAACGGGUGAGUAACACGUGGGUGAUCUGCCCUGCACUUCGGGAUAAGCCUGGGAAACUGGGUCUAAUACCGGUUAGGACGAUGGUUUGGAUGCCAUUGUGGAAAGUUUUUCGGUGUGGGAUGAGCUCGCGGCCUAUCAGCUUGUUGGUGGGGUAAUGGCCUACCAAGUCGUCGACGGGUAGCCGGCCUGAGAGGGUGUACGGCCACAUUGGGAAGGAGAUACGGCCCAGACUCAUACGGGAGGAAGCAGUGGGGAAUAUUGCACAAUGGGCGCAAGCCUGAUGCAGCGACGCCGCGUGGGGGAUGACGGCCUUCGGGUUGUAAACUCCUUUCGCUAGGGACGAAGCGCAAGUGACGGUACCUGGAGAAGAAGCACCGGCUAACUACGUG